Molecule: long non-coding RNA, 6370 nt
Filed under: Sus scrofa (pig)
Lineage: Eukaryota; Metazoa; Chordata; Mammalia; Artiodactyla; Suidae
Description: lncRNA (ENSSSCG00025030348.1)
Source: RNAcentral
UUUUUUUUUUUUUUUUGUCUUUUUUGUUGUUGUUGUUGUUGCUAUUUCUUGGGCUGCUCCCGCGGCAUAUGGAGAUUCCCAGGCUAGGGGUCGAAUCGGAGCUGUAGCCACCGGCCUACGCCAGAGCCACAGCAACAUGGGAUCCGAGCCGCGUCUGCCAGCUACACCACAGCUCACAGCAACGCCAGAUCGUUAACCCACUGAGCAAGGGCAGGGACCGAACCCGCAACCUCAUGGUUCCUAGUCAGAUUCGUUAACCACUGCGCCACGACGGGAACUCCAACUUUUUUUUUUUUUUAAGGCCUCAUCCAUGGCAAUAUGGAGGUUCCCAGAAAGAAAGAAAGAAAGAGAGAGAGAGAAAGAAAGAGAGAAAGAAAGAAAGAAAGAAAGAAAGAGAGAAAGAAAGAAAGAGAGAAAGGCAGAAAGGCCAGUUAAUACCAACUGGGUAGUUUUUAUCCAGUACUACGGUGAAGACAAAGAGCUUUGAUCUUAGAUGACUGUUUUCUUUUUCCUUUGACAGUCAUACAUUCCUAGAAUUAAAGAAAAUCAGAUACAUUGAAAAUAACAGCUUAUCCUGAGAAAUAUUCAUUCUAUCUCCAUUUUCACCAGAACUUUCUGACGUGUAAGCUAGUUCCCUGAGUAGCUCUGUGCAAAGACAAUGAGAUCUGCCCUGUGGACAUGACUAGCUUGUUUCCAAAAAAGUGGUAUCUUCCUUUGUAAUGGUGGCAAUGGUUUGGGCAUGUACUUACUGGCAACAAACCACUAAACACAGUGCACCUUGGGAGGAACUGACAAAAAACAAAAACAAGUUUCUAGACCAACAAAAGUGUGGACAAAAUCAUGGUCCAUGAAAACCCCAAUAGCAUGGCUUUGCCUAAAACAACCACCCAGUCUGUGUCCCUCAGAGUAAAGCACAGUGGUUUUUAGAAAAGGGCUCUCGCAGUAGACUCGGGUUUGAAUUCUGGCUCUGAUGCUUAGCAGCCAUGCAACCCUAGGAAGUUUUUUAACUUCAUUCUACCUGCAUGUUCUUAUCUGUAGAAUAGUAAUAGGAAUAGAACAGCCAUAGUUUUAUCAGUAGAAAUAGAACCUUUAUAUGGUAUCGUAAAGCUUAAGUGAGUUAAUAAGGAAACUCUUAUUAACAGUGCCUGGCAACUUCUUAGUCCUCAAAAAAUGUUGGCUAUUAUCAUUUUCUCUUAGUCCACAAGCAGCUCAGUCUUUAUUGAUUAGUCAGCCAUCCUAUGAAAGCUUCACUAAUGUGUCAUUUUAUUUUUCAUUUACAGGUCUCCAAGAAAUGAUAAAUAGACAGAGAAUGCUACUUAAAGUUCAUGCCUGACUCAAGCCCAUAUUCAGCCAACCUUAAAUCAGCUCUUCAAGCUUUAGUGCUCAGCCUGUUAAAACAUGUGCUUAUUUUAAUUCCAUAAAUUGAGUCAAAAUUCCUCACUACAAAACUGAAGUGAAACAGUUGUACGGUCUCUUUCCCACACUCAAAAGUUGACUGAUAACAACAAGAAAAAAUGCUGGCUUUAUGUUUCAUUAAGAUGGUGAUUACCAAAUCCUUCAACCAAAUAUUUUGAAUACCUCUUGGAGCAGGACAGAGCAGAUAUUUAGUAAACAGAGAAUUUCAACUUUAUGACUAGCUUCAACCAUUUCAAUGUUUCAGUGGACUUGUGAAGAAAAAAGUGCCAAAACCUCAACAGGGCAAACAUGAAGACAACGUUAAAGCAGAUUGAAAAAAUCAGUGUAAGGAUAUCUUUAAAAAAAACACACUGCUAAGGAAACACAUGUAGUGUAUCUAUUUAGCACCUAUGGCUAUACAUGGUUUUUACCAUGAGAUGUACAAAGCAGUUAGCUCUUGGAAAUUUUUAACUAUCUGCUGUAUGCUUUCUAAGCUUUCUGCAUUUUGAAUAAGAAAUAUGUACUUAGAAUAAUUUCACGUUAUUUUCAUUUUGGAAAAGAGAGAAAUAUAAACAUUAACAUAAUUUUUGGAGUCUUUGAGUGUUCUGAUAUAUGAUAGAGAAAUGAAAUGAUACUUUUCCUUUCAAAUAAUCAGUGUGUGAUGAUUGAUGGUCUGACUCCUUUGUGAACCCUUGGAAAAUCAGAUGGAAAUGACCUUGAAUUAGGUAGUAUCUGUGAAAUCGAAACAGUCCAAAAAACAGGCUGCUAAAUUACCACCCCAGUACCAUGGAUUACAUACUCUGAACUAAUCUGAAACUAGAGUGGAAUUCAUUGGGAAUAUCAGUUCCUUUCCAAAGCAUGGGGUUCCCGCCUUAUGCUAGCUAGGAUCACUUUUAAAAUACCACCGAGAUAAACAAUGUCUUUCACUUAUGAAUUCCAACGGAUUGCAAGGAAACUUUAAAGUCCUAGCAACACUGUUGCUAUAGCAAUGCAACCUGAUUAGAUAUUCUUAGCAACCAGCCACAACUCACACCCACGGACUCCUUUCAUUUAUUCCAAGAAGAAUAAUGUUGAUAUUUCAAUUUCUAAACUAUACAGAUCUCAGUGGCAGACAGCUAUGGAUGAAAGGUCUGUGAGAUCCAAUGGAUUAGCAAAUUAAUAAAAAUAAACUUGGGGCUUGGACCCAUCCUACACGUAUACAAUAAACACAUAUAAAAGUGUAUUCUACAUGGCUAAAAAUUGAAGACGGAUUUCAUUUGGCUCUUGGAAUAUAUGCAAACAAUAGCAGAAUCCUUGAAUUUCAUAUUGUAGUAGCUAAAGUUUACACGCUUCUCAAGUAGUAUAUUUCAUACUGAAUUAAUAGAGGUAACAACAAAAUUACAUGUUUGCAACCAACAGCAGCAAUGUGACAUUUUGAUUCUGAAGAUUUCAUCAGAACCCAUAUCACACUUAAAAAAACACAGGCACGAUUGAGAGUGAAGGUAUGGUUAAUUAUGAGGUUACAUAGCAGAAAUGUGGCCUUGAUAUCAUAUACACUUAAGCCUGAGCUGAUACAAGGGACUGACAGAGUUACUGCUCUGAAGGACAGGGUCUGUCACAUUCUGAGCAGGAGAAAAUCUGAAGACUAAUAUUCUGGAGUUAUCCCCGGGCUGAUUCUAAUCAGGAAGGUCAGAUGCAGGAUCAGAUCUAUGAAGGCUCAGAAAAGACCACAAGAGUCCAGAAGUCUACAAAUAUGACCCAUGGUUUUAUAAUUAAAUAAAGGAUGCUUUUCUAUAAGCCCAGAUCCUGAGUCAUUCUGUUUUAAUAUGGAAAAGAAACCAAUUACAUUUCUGCCCUUUCCUGAAUAGCUACAUUCUAAUGGUUAAUAAUCUAAUCUCUCUCUAUCUGCAGUUUACAAAUGGAGGAGUGUGGUGGGAAGAAAUUAAGGUGAAAAAUAACCAGAAGCGAAGAGAAGCUUUUCGUUGUUGUUGCCAUUGCCUUUAGAAGUUAUUAAAUUUGAGCCAUGGAUAUGAUAUUAUGAAAAUAAUUACUCUCAGCCAAGUUACAGAAUUAGAAAGCCCUUUUGAGAGGUCUCCAGUUUUGAUGAAGUAUCCAAUCUAUAUAAAAAGCCUACAUCAAAACCUUUUUGCACAUCCCUUUAUAACAAUUUAAUAUGUUCUAAAAAAGUCAUUAAUGUGCACAAAUUCAUGGAUAGAGGAACAUUCAUCCCAACGGUCUAAAUUAGAAACACUUAAAUGGAAAUUCUAAAUAUAUAAAAAUGUGGCAUUAACUAAAUUAAUUACAGUGUUUUUUAUCAUGAAAUACUGCUCCACAGUCUCCUUACCUAUUUUCUUGCAGCCUGAAAAGUACCCCAAAAAUCAAAAACUUAUAUACAACUUCAUUGGCAGAAAAACCUGAUCUGACCAGAAUUCAUUUAACACCAAAACCUAAUUGGCAGUGAGACUAUUCAGAGGCUUUAUUUAUCUCACAGAGUGUGAUUAUUCUUAUGCUUCACUGCAGAAAUAGUCAUGUGUUGGAUUACAAGGUGCUGCCCCGGACACUGCAGAAAAUGUUUCCUAAUAUGUGAAUGUAACCAUAUUAUGUUUCAAACGUUUAAAAAAAAAAAAAUCUGCAUUCUGUACAAAGAGUGGUGGACGGUGGUCUACCUGGUAGUCUGUCUGAAAUGCUCUCUCCUUGACUUGUUCCUUCUCAUUCUUCAGGUCUGCUCUUGAUAAAUCGCCUUUAGUUGGUGUCCAUCUAUCAGGUCUAAAGAGAACCCCUGUGGUUCUUCUCCAUCAUACAUGCUGUUUUAUUUCCUUCACAGCACUUAUUACAACCAUUGGUUAUCUCAUUUGUUUCUUUGCUUGCAAGUCUAGUGACUGUCUCCCCAUCACCAGCUCCAAGAGGCCAGGGACCUUACAUGCCUAGUUCACAGCAGUGUCCAUCCCCCAUUUCACACCCACAUCAGGCACCCAGUCUGAGCUCUGUAUGUAUUCGUUGAGUGAAUGAAUGAAUGCGCAAACAAAUGAGUUUUGUAAAUAUAUAUGCAUUAAAAACAAACAAACAAAAAAACCCCAAUAUUAACAAUACAGUGGAAGUAGGGGUGUUUUUCUCUUUGGGGGCUUAUCUUUACACUUAAAAUUUUUCUGUGGAAAAAAAAAAAAAGGAUUCCUUUUGUAACAGCAGGAACAAUUUUUAAGGGGACAGCAGAUGAGUGAUUAAAUUGAUUCGCAUUACACCAAACACUUCUCUGAAAGCACAUUUAUUACAAAAAAGUACACAGUGUUCCUGCUAUCAAGAAUUUCUUCAAGGCAGGAUAACACAGUGCAAUUCCCCCAAAAUGGGAAACCAGGCAAAAUAAAAGUGAAAGAUAAAAGUACACCUCUCUAGCGGCUGCACAAUUUCAAUUCUUUUGAAUUCCCAAUUCUUCACCAUGUGUGGAUUCUUAUGUUAUUUGUUCUCCUGCCCAAUUCUCAAACCAAAGCACUGCCAUUUUCUACCACAAGCAUAACAGAGUGUGCGUGUGCAUGCAUGUGUGUGUGUGUGUGUGUGUGUGUGUGUGAUCUCUCUCAAAAACAGGGCUUUGAAAAACAUGGAAUCUACCAAAAAGUUUGGGUUCCUUAAUGAAGACAGGCUGACAGUUAGAAACACACACCAACUUCGUAAAGGUAAAACAUUUUUAAAAUACAAAAUGAGGCAUUUCCAAAAUUGAUUUAUCAGACUGAGUUACUAUGGGUUAUCUCACCAAGACAUAAUUCUAAAUUAAUUCCAAAGACCCCCCCUUUUUUUUUUUUCUUCUGGCUGCACCCAUGGCCUGCAAAAGUUCCCAGGGCAGGGAUCGAACCUUGCAACAGCAGCGACAAUGCCAGAUCCUUAGGCUGGCUACCAGGGACCUCCUUGAAUUUUUUUUUUCCAAGACCAUUUUCUUAACCUCAGAAGUUUAGCUCUGAGCAAGAAAGAGUACCCUCCAUCCUCUGACUCAGCUAAAUGCAGGCUCUAGAACCACAGGACGUCUGGAAAUAGAAAAGCUCUAUUACAUUAUAUUACAGCUACAUUUACACAAAACAUUCUCACUACGCUUUCUUCAACCUCUAGAUUUCAGGAGAACCAUCCCUAAAUAUCCUGGUGUUUGCAGCCUUUUAGCACACUCUUUUGUAUUUUUUGUACCUUUUUCAGAUUAACAUUUGUGCCCAUUGCUUUGAAGUUAGAGGUACUUCAACUAAAAAGGUAUCCAGACAGUAAAGAAGCCCAUCGGAAACAGAUACAAUUUUAAAAUGAUGAAUGUCUCUUUUAAACCAUUUCAGACUUUUCGGACCUUGUAGUUUCCAGAAUACACUUAAACCAAGGAAUAGCAUGCAUGUGUCAUCAUUUUGAGGAGUCACUUGAUACCACUUCGAUGCAUCUUAGUUCUUGCUGGGAUUCUAAUAGCAGCUCAAAAGACAAAGCAUAACAAAACCACUCACCAGAACCGAGGCCUCCUUUAUCUGCAUGUCUGCGUGAUUAUAAUUAAAAAUCUUUGGUUCGGGCAUGGCAGAAGAAUCUGUUCCCAAGAGCCCUCCCUGUAGACGACUGUGGGCAGGUGUGUUGUAUUGUUAUUUAAAACAUGCUGUUUAGAACACUGAAUUCUUUCUUGGAGGCCCCUUAAGUGAGGCAGCUGAAGACCAGCAGCUGCAAGUGUUUUGCUUUAUCCUGCAGCUUGUCAUUGUUAGCUCUGGUCACUGAGCCCUUUUCCCUAGUGAACAGGCUGGGUCUGUGGGGCAGCUGUAGGGGACUGCUCCCAUUCACCACCUAGACAUGGAACAGAGAAUCCCAGCCCCACUUCUGCCAAUGGCCAGCAAGAAUGGUGCUUACUUUAAGUAAUGGAGACUCUGAGAGAGUAGAUGAUAAAAUUAUCCCAUUAAUGAUACAAAAUGAAAAAUAACCAUUUCAUUCCAUUAGGUGUUCUCUCCACAUAAUAUUGGACUCAUGUCUUACAUUUCUACUUAUGGACCUCAUU